CUGCUACAUGAUUUUUGCAUGUUACUCAUGAUUUUUGCAGCUGCUACAUAAAUACAAAACACAUGUUUGUAUUUAGGUAGAACGCGAAACUCAUGAUUUCGGACCAACGAACUUGCAAAUAAGAGUCAUAUUUCAGUUGGUAAAUAACACCCACUGGCGUGAACUGAUUCAUUUGAGAAGAUGCGUGUAUCCAUGUUUUUGUGGGUAUGUAGCUCAAUAUAUAUAGUUUUUUGUUUUAGAUUUUCCUUUUACAAGAAGUAUAUAACUGAAUAGUUAGAUUAAGAUCAUUAUAAAUAUUGAAUUCUCUUAGCUACUUCAUGAAGAUAUAGUUAGGUGUUGGUGGAAGCUGAAAUUAAUUAUGUAUACGUUUUGUGGGUUGGAGUUCCAAAGUUUAGUGACCAUCUGCUGCUAUAAGCAAAUAGUAGGCAAAUCAGGAGUUCAAUUGCGUUUUUUUCAUAUUUUUUUUGAGCAAUAUAUAUAUAACUUGAGUUCAAUUCCAAAACUAUCCUCUAUAUUUUUGGAGACCCACUUCAAUAAAAUUCCUCUCUAUAUUUUUUGCACCCUCCAAUAAGUUUUCUAUAUCUUAUGCACACUCUAGAGACAUAGCUUUGGCCUCCUUAUUUAGCGACGAGAAACUUAGAAUAAAGGAGGACAAUGUUUAAAUAUCUGAUUGAAUAAUCUGUUGAAGUUUUUUCACUAAAGUCUCUCUUUAUAUCAGUAGAAGAGGAUAUGAAGAGCCUCUUUGAGUUGAUUUUAAUUCUCAACACCUAAAAGUUACCGCACUAAUUGUAACACCCUAAAAUUUGCUCCUUUCAAAAUAGAUGAAAAUCGAUUUAGUUUUGUAUUUUUUUGUGCUCAUGAAAAUAUAGGAAAAAAAUAAUAUUUUUCAUUAGAUUAAAUUUUAUUAUAAGGCUUAGCAACAUGGUUGUGUAUACAUGCUGAUGCAUAUGAUUUUGGGUGAUGUCUGCUUAUUGCUCCUUUGUGUGUUGAUAGUAAGAAAAAUAUUUAAAAUACAUUUAGUAGAUCGAUCUUCCUUAUUCGACACGUAUUUAUCUUUUUCUACAAUCAAAUUCCUUGUUUCUUAGCUUAAGAUUUCGGUCAGGGUCUCUCAGAAUCUUUUCUUUCAAACCUAAGUCCCUCGUUUGAGUUUCUCGUCCAUUAAGCAAUCUCUACAAACUUCUUGGGUAUUUUUCUAGCCUUUUCUAUGAGCAUAAAUCUAAUUUUAGAUGCCCCAAAUUAUCUCAUCAUAAGCUCCAAAUACUUUAUUUGGAUUCCUCAUGUUCUAUAAUAUCUCUGAGAAUUUUUCUCAAAUUUUCGAAGCUUUCGGAGUAUUUUUCGUGACUUAACUACUAAUUCUGGACUUUUCUAGAAUUAUUUUAUCCAUGAAAAUAAUUAAUUUCGAAAAUAAUAAUUUCUUCAGUUUACUCAAAUCCAACGUCAUCAUGAUUCAAAGACCAAAUGUUUUAUUUACUAAUGGGCUUUAAUAAUUAAUUAGGCCUAUUAGUAAAGAUGGAGAUUUCAACAUCAAUUAGUACCAUAUUGCUAAUUGAUGUGGAUGUGACGAGUUUUUCUCCCUAUAUAUAUAUAUAUAUGUACCAACUUCUUGGUUAAGCACACACCAAAACUACCAUAAAGAAGCCCCAGAUUUAGGAAUCCCUAGGUAGUAAAUCAAUUUUUUCCCCUCUUUAUCGUCCCAGCAUUGCUGAUCCAUCUACUAUCGCUAUUCUUAUCACGGAGGUGGAGAAUCGUUUGAGCAGCAGGUCUGGUCAUCAAUGCCUAAGGAACCGUGCAACCAGCUUGCUCCGUUGCAUGCCGCAAGUGACAUAAUGAUUAAUGGUCAGCCCAACCUCCUUUCCAAUUCAGUGAUAAUCACGUCACAUGUUUCUGAGUUAAAUAAAUUAGCUACUAAUUUGAUUAGUGUGCAUGCUACCACUUUUCUAAAUUAAAAGCAAACAUAGGUUCUGCGCC
This 1968-nucleotide long non-coding RNA is filed under the name Sorghum bicolor (sorghum). RNAcentral's name for it is "long non-coding RNA (SBIC_LNC009574)". The record is from RNAcentral. Lineage: Eukaryota; Viridiplantae; Streptophyta; Magnoliopsida; Poales; Poaceae.